Molecule: ribosomal RNA, 518 nt
Filed under: uncultured bacterium
Lineage: Bacteria
Description: partial 16S ribosomal RNA
Rfam family: Bacterial small subunit ribosomal RNA
Source: RNAcentral
UGAGGAAUAUUGGUCAAUGGGUGCAAGCCUGAACCAGCCAUCCCGCGUGAAGGACGACUGCCCUAUGGGUUGUAAACUUCUUUUGUAUAGGGAUAAACCUACCCUCGUGAGGGUAGCUGAAGGUACUAUACGAAUAAGCACCGGCUAACUCCGUGCCAGCAGCCGCGGUAAUACGGAGGGUGCAAGCGUUAUCCGGAUUUAUUGGGUUUAAAGGGUCCGUAGGCGGACUUAUAAGUCAGUGGCGAAAGCCUGUCGCUUAACGAUAGAACUGCCAUUGAUACUGUAAGUCUUGAGUAUAUUUGAGGUAGCUGGAAUAAGUAGUGUAGCGGUGAAAUGCAUAGAUAUUACUUAGAACACCAAUUGCGAAGGCAGGUUACCAAGAUAUAACUGACGCUGAGGGACGAAAGCGUGGGGAGCGAACAGGGUUAGAUACUCUGGUAGUCCACGCCGUAAACGAUGCUAACUCGUUUUUGGGGCUUCGGCUUCAGAGACCAAGCGAAAGUGAUAAGUUAGCCACC